GGAGGGAUCAUUAACGAGUUCCAUUCUCCUUAAUACACCCGUGAACGUUUCUUUUCAACUGUUCGUUGCUUCGGCGGGCGGCCCCGGGGAGGGGCCGCAGCCCGCAAGGGCGCCCGCCGGCGGCAGCGCAGCACAACUCUUGCGAUUUAGGCCCCUCUGAGAAGACACUAAAUGAGUCAAAACUUUCAACAACGGAUCUCUUGGUUCUGGCAUCGAUGAAGAACGCAGCGAAAUGCGAUAAGUAAUGUGAAUUGCAGAACUCAGCGAAUCAUCGAAUCUUUGAACGCACAUUGCGCCCGCCGGCAUUCCGGCGGGCAUGCCUGUUCGAGCGUCAUUUCAACCCUCGAGCCCUGCUCGGUGUUGGGGCCCCGCGGCCGCCGCGGGCCCUGAAAAGAAGUGGCGGGCGCGCCUGGACCCGUAGCGCAGUAAUACACCUCGCUCGCGGCGUCCCGGCGCGUGCCGGCCGUAAAACCCCUUUAUCUCAAGGUUGACCUCGGAUCAGGUAGGAAACCCGCUGAACUUAA
RNAcentral lists this ribosomal RNA (524 nucleotides) under Chaetomium sp. B82. RNAcentral's name for it is "eukaryotic LSU rRNA". The stretch from base 181 to 334 matches the Rfam family "5.8S ribosomal RNA". The record is from RNAcentral. Lineage: Eukaryota; Fungi; Ascomycota; Sordariomycetes; Sordariales; Chaetomiaceae.